AUUUAGCCCCGGUUGCAGUGAAAAUCCUUUCUAGUCCUGAACUUGUUUCAGGACUAGAAAGAUUGUAACGUAAAACGGGAACAUUA
RNAcentral lists this small RNA (86 nucleotides) under Flavobacterium urumqiense. Its description in RNAcentral is "Flavo-1 RNA". It matches the Rfam family "Flavo-1 RNA". Lineage: Bacteria; Pseudomonadati; Bacteroidota; Flavobacteriia; Flavobacteriales; Flavobacteriaceae. The record is from RNAcentral.